UACAGGGGGGGCAAGCGUUGUUCGGAAUUACUGGGCGUAAAGGGCUUGUAGGUGGCCAAUUAAGUCAGACGUGAAAUCCCUCAGCUUAACUGGGGAACUGCGUCUGAUACUGGAUGGCUUGAAUUCGGGAGAGGGAUGCAGAAUUCCAGGUGUAGCGGUGAAAUGCGUAGAUAUCUGGAGGAAUACCGGUGGCGAAGGCGGCAUCCUGGACCGACAUUGACGCUGAGGUGCGAAAGCGUGGGGAGCAAACAGG
Molecule: ribosomal RNA, 253 nt
Filed under: uncultured bacterium
Lineage: Bacteria
Description: partial 16S ribosomal RNA
Rfam family: Bacterial small subunit ribosomal RNA
Source: RNAcentral